GAUGAAGAACGUAGCGAAAUGCGAUAAGUAAUGUGAAUUGCAGAGUUCAGUGAAUCAUCGAAUCUUUGAACGCACAUUGCGCCCGUUAGUAUUCUGACGGGCAUGCCUGUCCGAGCGUCAUUACAACCCUCAAGCUCAGCUUGGUGUUGGGCCCCGCCGCCCCGGCGGGCCCUAAAGUCAGUGGCGGUGCCGUCCGGCUCCGAGCGUAGUAAUUCUUCUCGCUCUGGAGGUCCGGUCGUGUGCUCGCCAGCAACCCCCAAUUUUUUCAGGUUGACCUCGGAUCAGGUAGGGAUACCCGCUGAACUUAAGCAUAUCAAUAAGCGGAGGA
RNAcentral lists this unclassified non-coding RNA (328 nucleotides) under soil metagenome. RNAcentral's name for it is "partial contains 5.8S ribosomal RNA, internal transcribed spacer 2, and large subunit ribosomal RNA". The stretch from base 1 to 120 matches the Rfam family "5.8S ribosomal RNA", at positions 35 to 154 of the family's 154-position model. The record is from RNAcentral.